This 156-nucleotide ribosomal RNA is filed under the name uncultured Sphingobacteriia bacterium. RNAcentral's name for it is "partial 16S ribosomal RNA". Lineage: Bacteria; Pseudomonadati; Bacteroidota; Sphingobacteriia. The record is from RNAcentral.
ACGGGGGGCGUAGGGGAGGCAGCAGUAAGGAAUAUUGGUCAAUGGACGGAAAUCUGAACCAGCCAUGCCGCUUGCAAGAAGAUGGCCGUAUAGGGUGUAAACUGCUUUUGCAGGGGAAUAAACCUUGAUACGUGUAUCGAGUGAAAUAACGUAGAU